Molecule: transfer RNA, 68 nt
Filed under: Sphaerodactylus townsendi
Lineage: Eukaryota; Metazoa; Chordata; Lepidosauria; Squamata; Sphaerodactylidae
Description: tRNA-Lys
Source: RNAcentral
GUAUAGCUCAGUGGUAGAGCAUCUACAUUUUAUGCAGAUGGUUCUAUGUUUAAUCCCUGGCAUCUACA